RNAcentral lists this long non-coding RNA (632 nucleotides) under Chrysemys picta bellii (western painted turtle). Its description in RNAcentral is "lncRNA (ENSCPBG00000027643.1)". Lineage: Eukaryota; Metazoa; Chordata; Testudines; Emydidae. The record is from RNAcentral.
UGUGUGAUUGCUGAUGAGUAUUUGCUUCAGGUUGGGGGGCUGUCUGUAAGUGAGGACUGGUCUGUCUCCCAAGAUCUGUGAGCGUGAGGGAUUGUCCUUCAGGAUAGGUUGUAGAUCUUUGAUGAUGUGCUGGAGAGGUUUUAGUUGGAGGCUGAAGGUGAUGGCUAGUGGCGUUCUGUUAUUUUCUUUGUUGGGCCUGUCUUGUAGUAGGUGACUUCUGGGUACUCUUCUGGCUUUGUCAAUCUGUUUUUCACAUCAGCAGGUGGGUACUGUAGUUUUAAGAAUGCUUGAUAGAGAUCAAUAAAAUGGACACAAAUACUCUUGUUCUUUUUGCAGAUACAGACUAACAUGGCUGCUACUCUAAAAUCCUCUACAAGAAUCAGCUGGAAGUGUUGGAGAACUAAGUGAGAGAUGGAGGCCAGAUGACCAGGUCAAUCUCCUGGUUGUCACUCAAGUUGCCGCUGUUGGAAAGUUUAGCUGAAAAAAUGCCUGCACAUCUAUUGAAAUCCUGGUACUGGUGAGUGAGAGACAUGUUCAUGCACUCUGGAAUAAUCUCCACUUAGCUCGCAUGCAUAGCAUGUUGGGGAGAGCACAAAAGAUUCCACUGUGUGUUAACAUGUGUGAUUUAGUUU